Molecule: ribosomal RNA, 431 nt
Filed under: uncultured bacterium
Lineage: Bacteria
Description: bacterial SSU rRNA
Rfam family: Bacterial small subunit ribosomal RNA
Source: RNAcentral
ACGAACGCUGGCGGCAUGCCUAAUACAUGCAAGUCGAACGAGGCCUUCGGGUCUAGUGGCGCACGGGUGCGUAACGCGUGGGAAUCUGCCCUUGGGUUCGGAAUAACGUUUGGAAACGGACGCUAAUACCGGAUGAUAUCGAAAGAUCAAAGAUUUAUCGCCCAGGGAUGAGCCCGCGUAGGAUUAGCUAGUUGGUGAGGUAAAGGCUCACCAAGGCGACGAUCCUUAGCUGGUCUGAGAGGAUGAUCAGCCACACUGGGACUGAGACACGGCCCAGACUCCUACGGGAGGCAGCAGUAGGGAAUAUUGGACAAUGGGGGCAACCCUGAUCCAGCAAUGCCGCGUGAGUGAUGAAGGCCUUAGGGUUGUAAAGCUCUUUUACCCGGGAUGAUAAUGACAGUACCGGGAGAAUAAGCCCCGGCUAACUCCGU